GCGGUGGAGCAUGUGGUUAAUUCGAAGCAACGCGAAGAACCUUACCAGGUCUUGACAUCCCGAUGCUAUUUCUAGAGAUAGAAAGUUACUUCGGUACAUCGGUGACAGGUGGUGCAUGGUUGUCGUCAGCUCGUGUCGUGAGAUGUUGGGUUAAGUCCCGCAACGAGCGCAACCCUUGCCUUUAGUUGCCAUCAUUCAGUUGGGCACUCUAGAGGGACUGCCGGUGUCAAACCGGAGGAAGUGGGGAUGACGUCAAAUCAUCAUGCCCCUUAUGACCUGGGCUACACACGUGCUACAAUGGUUGGUACAACGAGUUGCGAGUCGGUGACGGCGAGCUAAUCUCUUAAAGCCAAUCUCAGUUCGGAUUGUAGGCUGCAACUCGCCUACAUGAAGUCGGAAUCGCUAGUAAUCGCGGAUCAGCACGCCGCGGUGAAUACGUUCCCGGGCCUU
Molecule: ribosomal RNA, 450 nt
Filed under: uncultured Streptococcus sp.
Lineage: Bacteria; Bacillati; Bacillota; Bacilli; Lactobacillales; Streptococcaceae
Description: bacterial SSU rRNA
Rfam family: Bacterial small subunit ribosomal RNA
Source: RNAcentral